AACGCAUAUUGCGCUCUUUGGUAUUCCGAAGAGCAUGCUUGUUUGAGUAUCAGUAAACACCUCAAAGCUUUUGAAUUUUUUUUAAAAGUUUUGGACUUGAGCAAUCCCAACACCAAUCUUUUUCAGAUCGGCGGCGGGUUGCUUGAAAUGCAGGUGCAGCUGGACAUUCUCCUGAGCUAAAAGCAUAUUUAUUUAGUCCCGUCAAACGGAUUAUUACUUUUGCUGCAGCUAAUAUAAAGGGAGUUUGACCGUAUUGGCUGACUGAUGCAGGAUUUCACAAGGAUCGGCAAUGAUUCUUGUAAAACUCGAUCUCAAAUCAAGUAAGACUACCCGCUGAACUUAA
Molecule: unclassified non-coding RNA, 343 nt
Filed under: uncultured Mortierella
Lineage: Eukaryota; Fungi; Mortierellomycota; Mortierellomycetes; Mortierellales; Mortierellaceae
Description: sequence contains ITS2
Source: RNAcentral